GCCCCUGGUCCCGGUUGCAGCCCCCGGAUGAGCCCACAGUAUUUUCCUUAUAUGAUUGGGCCCUGCGGCUGGCAGCGCGCUAGCCCAGAGCCUAAAAGGAUUAUGAAACCGCGUCAGGCUAAGCGGGGCGCGGAACCGGGGC
This is a non-coding RNA of Pteronotus mesoamericanus, 142 nucleotides long. RefSeq annotates it as small Cajal body-specific RNA 17. NCBI's taxonomy places the organism in Eukaryota, Metazoa, Chordata, Mammalia, Chiroptera, Mormoopidae. The transcript has a single exon. The record is from RefSeq and is a predicted model, not a curated record.